UCCGUAGGUGAACCUGCGGAGGGAUCAUUACAAGUGACCCCGGUCUAACCACCGGGAUGUUCAUAACCCUUUGUUGUCCGACUCUGUUGCCUCCGGGGCGACCCUGCCUUCGGGCGGGGGCUCCGGGUGGACACUUCAAACUCUUGCGUAACUUUGCAGUCUGAGUAAACUUAAUUAAUAAAUUAAAACUUUUAACAACGGAUCUCUUGGUUCUGGCAUCGAUGAAGAACGCAGCGAAAUGCGAUAAGUAAUGUGAAUUGCAGAAUUCAGUGAAUCAUCGAAUCUUUGAACGCACAUUGCGCCCACUGGUAUUCCGGUGGGCAUGCCUGUUCGAGCGUCAUUAUCCUCCCUCAAACCUCGGGUUUGGUGUUGGGCCGCGUUACCACGUCCUCCGCGUCCGCCCUUCGGGGGGGGAGCCGCGGGGUGACCAACUGGCCUCAAAGACGAUGACGGCGUCCGUGGGACCCUCGGUGCAACGAGCUUCUUUGGAGCACGCGUCGAGUUUCAAGGUCCCUCCGGGCCGGUCUAACCCUUUUAUUAUCACAAGGUUGACCUCGGAUCAGGUAGGAAUACCCGCUGAACUUAAGCAUAUCAAUAAGCGGAGGA
Molecule: ribosomal RNA, 606 nt
Filed under: uncultured Cladosporium
Lineage: Eukaryota; Fungi; Ascomycota; Dothideomycetes; Cladosporiales; Cladosporiaceae
Description: eukaryotic LSU rRNA
Rfam family: 5.8S ribosomal RNA (bases 187-340)
Source: RNAcentral